GCACAAGAAGAGAAAAGAGAUAAAGAAAAAAAAAAAAAAAAAAAGGGAGGGUAAUGGCGAGGGAACAGAGGAGAUAAGAGCGAGGGGAAGCGAGAGGGGUACGGAGGGGGAAAUGGAGGAGUAACUGGUUGCUGGGCCGGUCCCGAAAAGGGAAAGCGGCGCUCGUCAGACCGGGGGUGGCCUCUUCUUUUCAUGUCAUUUUAUCACGUACUCCCCCGUAAGCUAAAUAACAAACAACCAUAAAUACAAAUAAUGGAGAAUAUAAAUAUUGGGGUGAGGGAUCCCAAAAGAAAUAAACAAGGGGGUGGCAGAAGCCCCGGUUCCUGUGGCGUGGAUCCAACGGUGAACACGAUGGUGUCAGGCAUCGAGGCCUUCUCGAGCCCAGAAACGGAAGAGAAAGGAGACGAGAGGGACCUCUUCACCACCAGCUCAUCAACAACUCUCUUCUUUUAUUAUUAUUAUUCUUCUUCUUUUAAAAUAGAUAGAUUUUCUUUUUCUUUUUUUUUUUGAAGGGAUGGGAGGGAGGAAGGGAAAAGAGAGCGGCGAUCUCGUACUUCUGCUGGUUCCGACACGACCAGACCAUGCCCCAAACAAGAAACCAAAUCUGCGCUGAUAUUUAAAAAAGAUAUGCUUUCGAAGAAGGGAGAUUUUGGCGCGUGAGAGGUUGCUCAUUCUAUUCGCCGGCCGUAGAAGAAAACCAGCCGAGUUUCCGCGUUCGCAUGUCGCAGGAUCCAACGAAUUUUGGGUUCCUCCGGAUCUCAUGACCGGCUUCCCGGGUUUUAUUUCGACUCCCUCCGUCUUUUUAUUGGGAAAAAAAAAAUAAAGAUAGUUUCAGAUUUCCGAUCAUGUAAGACUUGUUGAGUGUGCAGCAAAAAAAAAAAAAAAUUCACUAAAUAUGUGUAUAUUUUGUUGACAAGGAAGACUUAUAUUUGGUUAGAUAUUUAUUUUUUUUUCAAAAAUAUAUAAAAUAUUUAUUAUAAUUUAUAUUUUUAAUAAAUUUAAAUAAAUUUUUUUUUUUUUGUUACAAUAAAGACUCAUUCUUUAGCAGAUAAAUAUCAUGAAAAAUUUGAUCAUUUUUUUUAUUAACCAACUUAUAAUAUUUUUAUAUUUUUUAGAUAGAUAAAUUAUUUUUUUAUAAAUAAUAUUUAUCUAUAAAAUAGAAAAAAAAUCUUACCUACCUAAAAGAUGAGUAAGUUAAUUUUUCAUCAACCAAUAAAAUAAUUUUUUUAUUUUAUUCUUAAUAUAUAUUUCUAAUCCUACAAUAAUAUGAUGAUAAUAAUAUAUAAUAUUAUCUUAUAUAUAAUAUGCUAUAAUAUUAUUAUCAAAUAAUAUAUUUUAUUAUUUUAAUAUAAUAUAUUAUAAUUUAUUAUAUUACAUUGUAUAUGUAAUAAAUAUUAUUUAUAUUUAUGAAUAUAGAUUAUAUAAUAUUAUAUAUUAUAACAUAUAAAAUAUAAUAUAUUAUAAUAGAAUAUAUUAUAUUAUAUUAUUAUAUAUAAUAAAGAUUUUGCUAUGAUAUUCUUUUAUAAUAUUUAUUAUAAAAAUAUUUAAAAUAUUAAAUAUUAUUUUUAUAUAUAUUUUAUUUUUAAAAAAUAAUAUUUUUAAUUAUUAUUAUUAUUUUUUUUUCUACCCGUGGUUUCACCGCGCCCAACCUCCCACCUUCCCUGCCUCCCACCUUUUCUGCCCCUGACGCCAUCCACAACUCCUCUGUGCUCCUCUAUCCGCGGUUUUGGCAAAGUAGCUGUUGUUUAGACGGUGCUUAUUGGAUAUAUUAAGCAUUAUUUUUCUGCAAUUACAUUUGACCUACUUAUCUCUUCAUAUAUAUAUAUAUAUAUAUAUUAGAUUAUAUAUAAAUAAUACUAAGCUAGAUAUAUAUUAUUAAUUCAUUCUUUAUUAAUUUAGUUUGAGAAUUCACUGAAUAAUGUAAAAUUUUUCACUUGAUUGGCCAAGAAAAUAAAGGCUGGGAUGAAAGCCUUGCUUGUAAUGUAUGAAAUAGAAAAUUAGAUAGUAUAUCCAAAAAAAAAACUAAAGAAAAUUUGAAAAUUAGCGUUUGAAGUUAAACAAUUAAAUCUGAAUGCAACUCUCUCGAGUGGAUUAUCUUUCUAAUCAACCAUGUUGAGGGAAUCAUCAUAUUGCAACAAUGCUACUUUAGGGUUGGUGGAACAUGGAGGAUAUGGGAUCCGAUAUCGAUUCCCUUCGGUCAACCAUCGUUGUCGCCCACUCAUUCGUGGUCACGGACGAGCAAUAGUGAAGGCAACGGGAGUAAGCAAAAGCAUGGAUGGCGCCACCAAGUAAUCAAAUUUGUCUUGGAAUGUUGCUUAUUGGACUUCUGUGGAGUUUACACGGAAUCCAACCUCAUAGUGCUCCUCUUUUGACAUCAAAAAUUUACAUGGGUGAUGAUCAGUUUUCCUGUUACCCC
Molecule: long non-coding RNA, 2416 nt
Filed under: Elaeis guineensis (African oil palm)
Lineage: Eukaryota; Viridiplantae; Streptophyta; Magnoliopsida; Arecales; Arecaceae
Description: long non-coding RNA (EGUI_LNC017492)
Source: RNAcentral